AUGGCCGAAUCCGCUGUGAGCGCCGUUCUAGGGAACUUGGGCAAUCUUGCUGUUCGGAAGACUAGUUUCUUAUGUGGAGUCACCCAUGAAGUGACCUUCCUGAAAGAUGAGUUGAUGCGGCUGCAGGGCUAUCUCAAAGACGCCGACAGCAAAAGGAGAUCUGGAAAUGCAAGUGUUGCUAUCUUUAUGAGCCAAAUUAGAGAUGCUGCAUAUGAGGCCGAGAAUGUUAUCGAAGCUGCAGAAUACAUGAAGAAGAGAAGCAGGAUCAAGAAGGGCUUCAUGGGUGCAAUUUCAAGGUAUGCUCAUUUACCGAGUGACUUGACUACCCUUCAUAAAGUUGGUGUUGAAAUUCGGCGUGUAAGAAGGAAGCUCAGUGAGAUAUCUCAGAGCGCAGACCAUUUGAAAAUCGACUUUAGUAGUCAUGUUGCAGAUGAGUAUCUAGAUGAUUAUGGCCUUAUGCACCAAAAUUGCAAGGAUGACGUUGUCAUGGUUGGUUUUGAGAAUGAGUACAACGAAAUAGUGGAUAAAUUAGUUCAAGCAGAAAAUAUGCUUAGUGUUGUUUCCAUAAUUGCCAUGGGUGGGGCAGGAAAAACAACACUUGCUAGAAAAUUAUACACUUCAUCCGAAGUCAAACAACACUUUGGGGCACUUAUUUGGGUGACUAUAUCCCAAAAAUUUAAGGUUGUUGAUUUACUAAAGGAAAUUGUGAAGCAAAUAUCAACCGGGGAUCAGUCUAGAAAAAUUGAUGACAUGAAUGAGUGUGAGUUGGGAAAGAAGAUCCAUGAUAUCCUCAUGCAAAAAAGAUACUUGGUAGUUCUUGAUGAUGUGUGGGAAACAGAUACAUGGGAGCAACUGAAUAGAACAAUUAAAGCCUUUCCAGAUGCAGCUAACUGUAGUAGAGUACUGUUGACAACACGAAAGGAAGAUGUUGCAAAUCAUGUUGAAAUGCCAACCCAUGUCCAUGCUUUGAAGUGUUUAGAUGAAGAGAAAAGUUGGUUACUUUUUAGUACCAAAGCUUUACCAUCAUACAAAAGACCAGACAUCCGUGACCUGGAUAUGUUUGAAAAACUAGGGGGGAAGCUUGCAAGGAAAUGUAAUGGAUUACCACUUGCACUUGCAGUUUUAGGGGGUUAUCUAUCAAAGAAUCUCAACACACAAGCAUGGUCUGAUGUAUUAUCGUGUUGGCCAUCAACCAAAGACACAAAGAUGAUGCGAAGCAUAAUAGCUCGGAGUUACAAGGACCUGCCAAAUCACUAUUUAAGAUCUUGUAUGCUAUAUAUUUCUGCUUUUCCUGAGGAUAUGAUAAUAUCUGUGUCAGUUCUUAUUAAUUUAUGGGUAGCAGAAGGUUUCAUUCCAGACACACCUAAGUGUACACUAGAAGAAACAGCUCGUAAGUAUGUAACUGAGUUGGCUCAAAGAAGCUUGGUGCAAGUUGUUAAAACAAGCGGUGUAUAUGGAUGGAUUCUAAAAAUAAGGAUUCAUGACAUCAUACGUGACUGGUGCAUAGAAGAAGCAACACAAGAUGGUUUCCUUGAUGUCACUGAUGAAACUACUAGAGGAAAAGUUGGUGCAUUAUCAUGUCAUACCCUGAUAUCCUAUCGUUCUUCUUUCCAAAACUCAAGUGAGCACAUUUUGCACGCAUCGCCUAAUCUCCGAGCUUUGCUUGCUUUUGGACUUUCAUCCGUAUCUUUUCCUGAGCUAAGAUUCCUAAGAGUCAUUCAUGUAGAGGACUCAAGCCUACAGGAUUUUUCCAAUGUAAUUGGUAGGUGCAUUCACUUACGACACCUCUGGUUGAGAAGAUGUAAAAAUGUGAUGAUCCCUUCUUCUAUCGGGAGACUCCUUUACUUGCAAAUUAUAGAUCUGCCAAAGACCUAUCUGCUACAGUCAGAAAUAUCAAGCUCCCUCUGGGAUAUAUCUAUGUUAAGGUAUGUAGAUAUUCCAAACAUUUCUCUGCCAAGGAGUGUGCAAAUUCAACAAAACCUACGGGAGCUUCACAUGCGUGCUGCUGAAUGUGAACAUGGAAAAGAUCCGAUGCCGAUCCUGGAGAUGCUUCCUUGUCUGGUAGUACUGGAUUUGGCUUUCUAUAAUCUCGAAACCAUGUCCUUCAGUGCCCAAGGGUUCCCUCGUUUGCAAGAGUUAAUAUUUCGAAAUUGUUCCAUUAAGUGGAGGAUGGAGAUCGGGACAAUGCCAAAGCUAUUCUUCCUGUCAUUUACACGGUGCAGGAUGGAUGAUGAAAUCCCUGAUGGAUUACUGUACCUUCCAUCCCUCAGGUUCAUAUCACUGCGACUGCGUAAUGUGGACAAAGAUUAUUUGAAUGAUAGCACACUGGAAGGAUUGAAGCAGAAAGGAUGCAAGGUCACAGAAAGUCAUAUGUAA
Molecule: ribosomal RNA, 2376 nt
Filed under: Triticum aestivum (bread wheat)
Lineage: Eukaryota; Viridiplantae; Streptophyta; Magnoliopsida; Poales; Poaceae
Description: partial small subunit ribosomal RNA
Source: RNAcentral